ACUCCUACGGGAGGCAGCAGUGGGGAAUAUUGCACAAUGGGCGCAAGCCUGAUGCAGCCAUGCCGCGUGUAUGAAGAAGGCCUUCGGGUUGUAAAGUACUUUCAGCAGUGAGGAAGGCGGGUGUGUUAAUAGCAUAUUCGUUUGACGUUAGCUGCAGAAGAAGCACCGGCUAACUCCGUGCCAGCAGCCGCGGUAAUACGGAGGGUGCGAGCGUUAAUCGGAAUUACUGGGCGUAAAGCGCAUGCAGGUGGUUUGUUAAGUCAGAUGUGAAAGCCCGGGGCUCAACCUCGGAAUUGCAUUUGAAACUGGCAGACUAGAGUACUGUAGAGGGGGGUAGAAUUUCAGGUGUAGCGGUGAAAUGCGUAGAGAUCUGAAGGAAUACCGGUGGCGAAGGCGGCCCCCUGGACAGAUACUGACACUCAGAUGCGAAAGCGUGGGGAGCAAACAGGAUUAGAUACCCUGGUAGGAUAGCG
This 473-nucleotide ribosomal RNA is filed under the name uncultured bacterium. Its description in RNAcentral is "bacterial SSU rRNA". It matches the Rfam family "Bacterial small subunit ribosomal RNA", at positions 335 to 799 of the family's 1533-position model. The record is from RNAcentral.